AAUGAACGUUGGCGGCGUGGAUUAGGCAUGCAAGUCGUGCGAUAACCCCGCAAGGGGGGAAAGCGGCGAAAGGGAGAGUAACGCGUGGGUACCUGCCCCUUGGUCCGGAAUAGCUGCGGGAAACUGCAGGUAAUGCCGGAUAAUAUCCUCGGAUCAAAGGUGUGAUUCCGCCGAGGGAGGGGCCCGCGUUCUAUUAGCUAGUUGGUAGGGUAAUGGCCUACCAAGGCGACGAUGGAUACCGGGUGUGAGAGCAUGACCCGGCUCACUGGGACUGAGACACUGCCCAGACACCUACGGGUGGCUGCAGUCGAGAAUCUUCGGCAAUGGGCGCAAGCCUGACCGAGCGACGCCGCGUGCGGGAUGAAGGCCUUCGGGUUGUAAACCGCUGUCGUAGAGGAGGAAAUGCCAUGGGGUUCUCUCCAUGGUUUGACCUAUUCUAGGAGGAAGGACGGGCUAAGUUCGUGCCAGCCGCCGCCGUAA
Molecule: ribosomal RNA, 480 nt
Filed under: uncultured bacterium
Lineage: Bacteria
Description: partial 16S ribosomal RNA
Rfam family: Bacterial small subunit ribosomal RNA
Source: RNAcentral